ACUCUAAAUGGCAGCACUGUCU
Molecule: microRNA, 22 nt
Filed under: Macaca mulatta (Rhesus monkey)
Lineage: Eukaryota; Metazoa; Chordata; Mammalia; Primates; Cercopithecidae
Description: Mml-Mir-430-P29c_5p* (star (passenger))
Source: RNAcentral